This 1391-nucleotide ribosomal RNA is filed under the name bacterium NLAE-zl-G64. RNAcentral's name for it is "16S ribosomal RNA". It matches the Rfam family "Bacterial small subunit ribosomal RNA". The record is from RNAcentral.
AGUCGAGGGGCAGCAUGAACUUAGCUUGCUAAGUUUGAUGGCGACCGGCGCACGUUGUGAGUAACACGAUAUCCAACCUGCCGAUGACUCGGGGAUAGCCUUUCGAAAGAAAGAUUAAUACCCGAUGGCAUAGUUCUUCCGCAUGGCAGAACUAUUAAAGAAUUUCGGUCAUCGAUGGGGAUGCGUUCCAUUAGGUUGUUGGCGGGGUAACGGCCCACCAAGCCUUCGAUGGAUAGGGGUUCUGAGAGGAAGGUCCCCCACAUUGGAACUGAGACACGGUCCAAACUCAUACGGGAGGCAGCAGUGAGGAAUAUUGGUCAAUGGACGAGAGUCUGAACCAGCCAAGUAGCGUGAAGGAUGACUGCCCUAUGGGUUGUAAACUUCUUUUAUACGGGAAUAAAGUGAGGCACGUGUGCCUUUUUGUAUGUACCGUAUGAAUAAGGAUCGGCUAACUCCGUGCCAGCAGCCGCGGUAAUACGGAGGAUCCGAGCGUUAUCCGGAUUUAUUGGGUUUAAAGGGAGCGUAGGCGGACGCUUAAGUCAGUUGUGAAAGUUUGCGGCUCAACCGUAAAAUUGCAGUUGAUACUGGGUGUCUUGAGUACAGUAGAGGCAGGCGGAAUUCGUGGUGUAGCGGUGAAAUGCUUAGAUAUCACGAAGAACUCCGAUUGCGAAGGCAGCUUGCUGGACUGUAACUGACGCUGAUGCUCGAAAGUGUGGGUAUCAAACAGGAUUAGAUACCCUGGUAGUCCACACAGUAAACGAUGAAUACUCGCUGUUUGCGAUAUACAGUAAGCGGCCAAGCGAAAGCGUUAAGUAUUCCACCUGGGGAGUACGCCGGCAACGGUGAAACUCAAAGGAAUUGACGGGGGCCCGCACAAGCGGAAGGAACAUGUGGUUUAAUUCGAUGAUACGCGAGGAACCUUACCCGGGCUUGAAUUGCAACUGAAUGAUGUGGAAACAUGUCACCCGCCAAGGCAGUUGUGAAGGUGCUGCAUGGUUUGUCGUCAACUCGUGCCGUGAGGUGUCGGCUUAAGUGCCAUAACGAGCCCAACCCUUAUCGAUAGUUACCAUCAGGUUAUGCUGGGGACUCUGUCGAGACUGCCGUCGUAAGAUGUGAGGAAGGUGGGGAUGACGUCAAAUCAGCACGGCCCUUACGUCCGGGGCUACACACGUGUUACAAUGGGGGGUACAGAAGGCAGCUACACGGCGACGUGAUGCUAAUCCCUAAAGCCUCUCUCAGUUCGGAUUGGAGUCUGCAACCCGACUCCAUGAAGCUGGAUUCGCUAGUAAUCGCGCAUCAGCCACGGCGCGGUGAAUACGUUCCCGGGCCUUGUACNCAAAAACCGUCAAGCCAUGAAAGCCGGGGGUACCUGAAGUGCGUACCGCAAGGAG